This 391-nucleotide ribosomal RNA is filed under the name Listeria monocytogenes. RNAcentral's name for it is "partial 23S ribosomal RNA". It matches the Rfam family "Bacterial large subunit ribosomal RNA", at positions 1 to 385 of the family's 2925-position model. Lineage: Bacteria; Bacillati; Bacillota; Bacilli; Caryophanales; Listeriaceae. The record is from RNAcentral.
GGUUAAGUUAGAAAGGGCGCACGGUGGAUGCCUUGGCACUAGGAGCCGAAGAAGGACGGGACUAACACCGAUAUGCUUUGGGGAGCUGUACGUAAGCGUUGAUCCAGAGAUUUCCGAAUGGGGGAACCCACUAUCUUUAGUCGGAUAGUAUCCUUACGUGAAUACAUAGCGUAAGGAAGGCAGACCCAGGGAACUGAAACAUCUAAGUACCUGGAGGAAGAGAAAGAAAAAUCGAUUUCCUGAGUAGCGGCGAGCGAAACGGAAAGAGCCCAAACCAAGAAGCUUGCUUCUUGGGGUUGUAGGACACUCUAUACGGAGUUACAAAAGAAAGUUAUAAAUGAAGCGGUCUGGAAAGGCCCGCCAAAGACGGUAACAGCCCGGUAGUUGAAAU